AUUGAACGCUGGCGGCAGGCCUAACACAUGCAAGUCGAACGAGUGGCGGACGGGUGAGUAAUGUCUGGGAAACUGCCUGAUGGAGGGGGAUAACUACUGGAAACGGUAGCUAAUACCGCACACCAUCCGAGUCGCCCAGAGGUGAUGGGCUUGUUGGUGGGGUAACGGCUCACCAAGGCGACGAUCCCGAGCUGGUCUGAGAGGCUGACCAGCAACACUGGAACUGAGAAACGGUCCAGACUCCUACGGGAGGCAGCAGUGGGGAAUAUUGCACAAUGGGCGAAAGCCGGAGGCAGCCAUGCCGCGUGUAUGAAGAAGGCCUGCGGGUUGUAAAGUACUUUCAGCGGGGAGGCGUUACCCGCAGAAGAAGCACCGGCUAACUCCGUGCCAGCAGCCGCGGUAAUUC
This 406-nucleotide ribosomal RNA is filed under the name uncultured bacterium. RNAcentral's name for it is "partial 16S ribosomal RNA". It matches the Rfam family "Bacterial small subunit ribosomal RNA", at positions 29 to 526 of the family's 1533-position model. The record is from RNAcentral.